GAAAUGCGAUAAGUAAUGUGAAUUGCAGAAUUCAGUGAAUCAUCGAACCUUUGAACGCACAUUGCGCCCGCCAGUAUUCUGGCGGGCAUGCCUGUUCGAGCGUCAUUUCAACCAUCAAGCCCCCCGGCUUGUGUUGGGGACCUGCGGCUGCCGCAGGCCCUGAAAAGCAGUGGCGGGCUCGCUGUCACACCGAGCGUAGUAGCAUACAUCUCGCUCUGGGCGUGCUGCGGGUUCCGGCCGUUAAACCACCUUCGUAACCCAAGGUUGACCUCGGAUCAGGUAGGAAGACCCGCUGAACUUAAGC
Molecule: unclassified non-coding RNA, 304 nt
Filed under: plant metagenome
Description: partial contains 5.8S ribosomal RNA, internal transcribed spacer 2, and large subunit ribosomal RNA
Rfam family: 5.8S ribosomal RNA (bases 1-105)
Source: RNAcentral